GUAAGCAGUACACCUCCAUGGCCUCUGUCUGCGUCAAUUCCUGCCUCCAGGUUCCUGCCCUGAUUGAGUUCCUGUCCUGACUUCCUUUCAGGAUGAUCCGUGAUAUGGUAGCAUCACAUGGAUAAACCCUUUCUUCCCCAGAUCACUGUGGUCAUGGUGUUCAUCAUUGCAAUAAUAACCCUAAGACUAAUUGGUGCCAGCAUAGUGGGGUAUUGCUGUGAGAGAUGUGACCAUGUUGUGUUUGGGAGGAUUGUGGGAAGACAUUGACUAUUGAAAUCUCAGCAGCCUGUUCUGUAGGAGCUUGGAAGAUAAGGCUGUUGAAGGCAAUGCAGACGAUGGAGGCCUGACUUGUGAAGUUUCGGAGAGAAGCAAAGACUUUACUAGACCUUUUGUAUGAAGAGUCUGUGAUGUCUGACUGAUUAGCAAGAGACCAGACCUGCUAAAGUAAAACCUAUGCUUUGCUGGAGCUAAAGAAUCAGCUGUGAUUAAGAGGAGAGCAUCACUGAGGUGAAGUCUUUUGGAAAGUGUUUCCUCAGGGGCAGCACACACAAGCUGUGUUCCAGAAGCGGUCGAGGCUGUACUUUCUGUGGGCAGCAGAACCUGGUAGUGUAAGAGUCUUCCAGUGAUACUGAUUUUGAAGGCAUGAAGGAGUCACGGUGAGCAGCUGAGGCUUGGCAUUGCGAGGCAGGGCUGGAGUCCCUGAAGGGAGCCCAGGAGAGGCUAUUGGUGAAAGCGCAGCCCAGUUGCAGCAGAAGACCCCAGCAGAGAUGCCAGGACCAUGGGAUGACCACCAAGAACAGCAGUAGCAGUGGAAUGGAGCCAGCUGGAGCCCGGGAGACAAGCUGUGUGCGCUGCAGAGGACGGAGCUGGAGAGGGCGGAGCUGGAGAGGUGACCCAUGCCCUCUGGAGGAGCUCAGAAGACGCUUGCGGUGGCUGCAGACAUUCCUUGCUGUCUUGUUUCCCCAGUUUUGCCCUUGUGGUCACAGUGCCAGCUCUGCUGUGUGCCUGUCUCAGACGGUCCACGAUCUCCUUUCUACAAGGAUACCCAGCAUCACGUUCCCGGAUUAGUGAAGAUAGUAUCCCUUCUCACGGUCCUUGAUCCCACCUGGAAUCUCUUGUUGUAAUACACGGUGAUAUUGGUCAGUUCCAGAGGUGGUGGGGGGAUAGUUUGGAGGGGAAUAUUUUUCAGCUGAAUGUCACACAUAAUUCAACCUUAACAUUUAUUUACCUUUAUAUGUGUUUGUGUGUGCCUGUGUGUACACAUGUGUGCAGGUGUGCAUCCCCAUGUGGAGGCCAGAGGCAUUUCCCCCUAUCGCUGUUUGCCCUAUUUUCUUUAGUGGGGUCUCUCACUGGGAGCCUGACAGUUUUAAGCUAGCCUAGUGGCCUUAAGUCUAUGAUUCUCUUAUCUCUGCUCUGCUCGGUGCACAAAGACACAUCCGACUUUUACAUGGGUGCUGGGGAUCCAAACUCAGGUCUUCAUGUUUGCACAGCAAGCGCUCCUACUCACUUAGCCAUCUAGCCAGGCCUUCCUAGUACAUUUCAUACUUCUUCACGAUGGUAAAGCUCAUGUGGGGAGGGUUUUUCUUUCUUACCUUAAAAAUGUAAGAUAGUUUAUCCUCUCUAUCUGCGAGAACUGUGAGAUGGGGAAGCUCACUGAAAGUCUUUUUGAUUUAAGGUGGGAUUUAGUACACAUGAAGAAUAUUUUUGCUGCAUGUGUGUAUGGCUUUUCUGUUCCCUGAUUUCCCAGGAGUUAUGAAGUGUAAUGGCUUGUAAGUCUCUUUAAUUGGAAGACUUGUUAUACAAUUGUGUAUGCUACUGUUCAUACCUCAUACUCCAAUAAACUAUAUUAAUCUA
Molecule: long non-coding RNA, 1854 nt
Organism: Mesocricetus auratus (golden hamster)
Lineage: Eukaryota; Metazoa; Chordata; Mammalia; Rodentia; Cricetidae
Exons: 2
Source: RefSeq, a predicted model, not a curated record